RNAcentral lists this long non-coding RNA (222 nucleotides) under Mytilus galloprovincialis (Mediterranean mussel). The record is from RNAcentral. Lineage: Eukaryota; Metazoa; Mollusca; Bivalvia; Mytilida; Mytilidae.
AUCGCAAGUUUCAAAAUUGUUUUGUAAGUGAAUUAAACUUAUUUUAACAAUCAUGAAGCGUUCUAGAAUCAUUUUCAAGCAGUUUCUACUUCUUUUUGAUGAUCGAAAACAGGGUUUCUCAAGAAAAUACCGCAAACGAUCGCAGAGGAUUUGAAAUGUACAAGUCAACUCGGCACCUGGUUAAAUCGGCAUCUACUGUAGUCAAAUCGGCACCUAUUUGAA